RNAcentral lists this small nuclear RNA (104 nucleotides) under Colobus angolensis palliatus. The record is from RNAcentral. Lineage: Eukaryota; Metazoa; Chordata; Mammalia; Primates; Cercopithecidae.
GUGCUCACUUUGGCAGUGCGAAUACUAAAAUUGGAAUGAUACAGAGAUUAGCAUGGCCUCUGUGCAAGGCUGACACACAAAGUCAUGAAGUGCUCUGCAUUUUU